RNAcentral lists this ribosomal RNA (692 nucleotides) under Haploporus sp. 2 LLS-2016. Its description in RNAcentral is "eukaryotic LSU rRNA". The stretch from base 247 to 400 matches the Rfam family "5.8S ribosomal RNA". The record is from RNAcentral. Lineage: Eukaryota; Fungi; Basidiomycota; Agaricomycetes; Polyporales; Polyporaceae.
CCCGUUCACUCAGUAAUCCUCGAUGACUUAGGGAGUUUAUAUGGAGUUGUAGCUGGCCUUUUAUAUAUAAAGGCAUGUGCACACUCUGUUCACUCUCUCUCUUUACCCCUGUGCAUUUAUUGUAGGCCUUGUAUGUGAAGAUAGACUUGAGUGUCUGUUGGAUACAUCCUGGCUUAUGUUUUUAUUAUCAACUCUUAUAAAAGUAUCAGAAUGUCAUAUUAUGAUGUUUAAUACACAUCUUUAUACAACUUUCAGCAACGGAUCUCUUGGCUCUCGCAUCGAUGAAGAACGCAGCGAAAUGCGAUAAGUAAUGUGAAUUGCAGAAUUCAGUGAAUCAUCGAAUCUUUGAACGCACCUUGCGCUCCUUGGUAUUCCGAGGAGCAUGCCUGUUUGAGUGUCAUGAUAUUCUCAACCUGUAACAAAUUUGUUUUUGUUCAAUGGUUGGAUUUGGAGGGUUUUGUCAGUUGCAUAUGAAUUGACUCCUCUUAAAUGCAUUAGCUUGAUUUUGUUAUAGAUCAGCUCUUGGUGUGAUAAUAAAAGUGUCUACACCAUAUAAGAGUUGUGAAAUAUAUAUGGGCAAGCUUCUAACAUAAUAAUAGUCUUCUUAUAGAGGACAUUUAUUUUGAUCACUCUGACCUCAAAUCAGGUAGGACUACCCGCUGAACUUAAGCAUAUCAAAAGGCGGGAGGAAA